Long non-coding RNA from Ruditapes philippinarum (Manila clam), 1878 nucleotides. RefSeq lists it as uncharacterized. The transcript has 2 exons. NCBI's taxonomy places the organism in Eukaryota, Metazoa, Mollusca, Bivalvia, Venerida, Veneridae. The record is from RefSeq and is a predicted model, not a curated record.
UGUUGCAAACCUGCCAAAAGAAGCACCGACUUUGAAUAAUGUUUUCUGCUAAUUCAGUUUUAUUCACCUACAUACUUUUUCUCCUUUUAUUAUUUAAAAAAAUGUUUUAACUUCAAAAUAUCGGAUUGCGACAACAUGUGACAAUUGAAAUUAGUGGGUGCUUAAAUUAAAUGCUGAUUUCGAGAAGUGGGUACAUUAAUCAAUACAUAUUAAUAUAAGAAUGUAUUUUCAAUUGUAUUAAGUUAGAACGGGCAAAAUUCGUGUGCUACACAAGCAAAAUAAAUCAUUUUAUUUUUGUACUUAUCCGGACUUCGUGUUAUCCGAAAAAAUGUUAAUAAAUGACAAAAAAACUUAAUAAUUUGACAGUUAAAAUCUCUUUUUAAGUUAAAUUUCAUUCAUUUAUAAGUGGAAAUUUUGUGGAUAUGAGAAUUUAAAUAAUUUCCUCCAAAAUCUCCAGAUAUACUGUAUGGUCGAUUGUUCCUUAAAAGCAAGAGAAAUCUUAUUUUAAUUAUCAAGACUGUCCUUGUGCUCGGAAGCAUGCGUGCAGAUGAAGAACUUACUUGCGAUGGGUAUAGCAGGAUACCAUUUCUCCUGGAACUUGGCAAAUGUUCUUGUCCCAGGCAUUGACCCUUCCCGAUCAGCGGCAGUGCUGACAAACGACCAGUUGUUCUCCAAAGUCCAAUAAACAAGCACUUUCACUUUUCAGCCAUUUUGAUUUUUCCCUCGUUUAAAACUAACCGCACAUGUAUUCGUGUUAUCUAUUGGUUGCUAAAUAUAAACUUUGGGUUAGGUGGCGCUAAAGAUAACGUGAUUUUCUAAACCGGAAGUAUAGAAAGAUAACACUUGAAGAAACUGUAAACAUGCGAUUUUGGUGGAUUUCGAGGUUUUCAGAAGCUGAAGAAGGUUGUGUAGUUUGGUAUCAGAAUAAAUAGACGUAUUGCUUGUAGGACAUUGACGGCUGAGGAACUUGAAAUUAACUGUAGAGUGCUACCUUAAACAUGUAUGAGUGUGACAAUUUCUAUGACCAUGAAAAUACAAGGAAGAGUAAUUCGGACAUAAAUUUGGAUGUAAACAAUAAACUACAAGUUAACAGAUCUGUAUAUCAGAACUAAAAGUACUGAAAUGAUUGCUGAUGCGAACCCUGUUGGUUAGAUUUUCUAUCAAGAGUCUGUCCAAAUAAUACUGGUCAACUUAUGUCAGGUGAUGAAAAACCCUCUGGCACUGAAUAUUCAAAAGGAAAUUUUGCAUCUAAAGAAGAACAAUGCUAUGUUCUUGCUAAGAUUGGUUUGAACAAUGUAAAAGAUUAUAGAACAACACACAGAUUAUUACGACAAAGGAAAAUUUCUUUAUUCCGAUAAGUACAAACAAAUGAAAAAAACUGUUACACUGUUUUGUGCCUGGAUAGUGUGAUAUUAGCUUUAUCAUAUUUCAUAGAAAAUAUUGUGGAUGAGAAGUUGUUUGCUGUUGGACAUAUAUGUACAAUAACAGAACUAGUACAUCCUUUUUGUGAUGUUGGAUACCAUCUGUUAAGAAUGAAAACUGAAGAGGAUGUUCAUGUUGAUAAGAUAAUUGAAGAAGUGUUUGUUAUUCAAACUGAAAAUACAUUUUUUUAAGUUAGUUGUGUUCCAAAUUUGUUCAAGUGACUGGCGUAUCUUAGAUUACAUCAUUUGAAUCGCAGUUUGAGACAGUAAAAUAUAAGUCUAAUAUUACAAAAUACAACUUUAAUGUGACAUUUAGUGUUAAUUAUUAUAGGCACAAUCCCUGUGGUAGAGUGAUUUACGGGUCACUUCUUCAAAUCUGUCUUUCAUAAUAGAUACUAAAAUGAUAUGUUAACUAAAAAGCAUUGAUUUUGGAUACAAAUAAAUUCAGAUUCUUGAA